RNAcentral lists this ribosomal RNA (253 nucleotides) under uncultured bacterium. RNAcentral's name for it is "partial 16S ribosomal RNA". It matches the Rfam family "Bacterial small subunit ribosomal RNA", at positions 524 to 776 of the family's 1533-position model. The record is from RNAcentral.
UACGGAGGGUGCAAGCGUUAUCCGGAUUUACUGGGUUUAAAGCGCACGUAGGCGGAUUGCUAAGUCAGGGGUGAAAUCCUGGAGCUCAACUCCAGAACUGCCUUUGAUACUGGCGAUCUUGAGUCCGGGAGAGGUGAGUGGAACUGCGAGUGUAGAGGUGAAAUUCGUAGAUAUUCGCAAGAACACCAGUGGCGAAGGCGGCUCACUGGCCCGGUACUGACGCUGAGGUGCGAAAGCGUGGGGAGCAAACAGG